This 465-nucleotide ribosomal RNA is filed under the name uncultured bacterium. Its description in RNAcentral is "partial 16S ribosomal RNA". It matches the Rfam family "Bacterial small subunit ribosomal RNA", at positions 338 to 795 of the family's 1533-position model. The record is from RNAcentral.
CCUACGGGAGGCAGCAGUAGGGAAUCUUCCACAAUGGGCGAUAGCCUGAUGGAGCAACGCCGCGUGGGUGAAGAAGGACUUCGGAUCGUAAAACCCUGUUGUUAGAGAAGAAAGUGCGUGAGAGUAACUGUUCACGUUUCGACGGUAUCUAACCAGAAAGCCACGGCUAACUACGUGCCAGCAGCCGCGGUAAUACGUAGGUGGCAAGCGUUAUCCGGAUUGAUUGGGCGUAAAGGGAACGCAGGCGGUCUUUUAAGUCUGAUGUGAAAGCCUUCGGCUUAACCGGAGUAGUGCAUUGGAUACUGGGAGACUUGAGUGCAGAAGAGGAGAGUGGAACUCCAUGUGUAGCGGUGAAAUGCGUAGAUAUAUGGAAGAACACCAGUGGCGAAAGCGGCUCUCUGGUCUGUAACUGACGCUGAGGUUCGAAAGCGUGGGUAGCAAACAGGAUUGGAUACCCCUGUAGUC